This 407-nucleotide long non-coding RNA is filed under the name Hordeum vulgare. Its description in RNAcentral is "long non-coding RNA (HVUL_LNC005483)". The record is from RNAcentral. Lineage: Eukaryota; Viridiplantae; Streptophyta; Magnoliopsida; Poales; Poaceae.
GGGGGAUGAUCUACGCAUAACGGACGUGAACUACUAAUGAUCAAAUGAAUGAUCCUGAACACCUACCUACGUCAGACAUAACCCCAUCGUGUCCUCGAUCGGAGAAGGAACUCACGAAAGAGACAGUCACGGUUACGCACACAGUUGGCAUAUUUUAAUUAAGUUAACUUCAAGUUAUCUAGAACCAGUGUUAAACAAAGUUUCCACGUUGCCACAUAACCGCGGCCACGGCUUUCCGAAAAGAUUUAACCCUGCAGGGGUGCUCCAACUAGUCCAUCACAAAUUACCACAAGCCGCAUAGAAAUCCUCAAUCACGAAGCUCGCAAUCUCGUCGGAUUCCCUAGUGGAAAACCUCAACUCUGAGUUUACCCAAAGCAUCACCGGAAUCCCGAUGCACAAGAUAUCUC